RNAcentral lists this long non-coding RNA (1334 nucleotides) under Homo sapiens (human). Its description in RNAcentral is "non-protein coding lnc-DYNC1H1-1:4". The record is from RNAcentral. Lineage: Eukaryota; Metazoa; Chordata; Mammalia; Primates; Hominidae.
CAUAAAGCCAUGGCAGGAUUCUAAGGACUGACAUGGUCUCUGCAUUGUAGCGGGUGCACUCUGCUGGUCUGUUGAGAAUUAACUCUUUGAGACCAGAGUAGGGUCAGAGAGCCCUUGGAGGGUGGAGGGCUACAGAGAUAACCCAGAGAUGAGGGUGGCUUGGACCACAGUGGCAGCAGUGCAGAGAGGGAAAAGGAGUUUGGGUUUUGAAGGUAUUCCAAAGGUAGAAUUGGAUGGGUGCCAGUUCCAGAUCACCAUCCGUAGGCUCGCUGUCCUGGAAACCUUUCUUCCUCUUCAUGAAGGCACCUUCCCUUCACUUUUGCUUCAAGUUUCCAUUCCACAGAGGGACAGAAACUCAAUCUCAGUCCAUCCAGGAUCCCAUCCUUCAGUUCUGGGGGUUGUGGCAGCCAAGUCAUGGGUGGUGUGGGUGGGGAAUCUGGUCCCCUGUCACCUUGUCCAUCUCCACUGGCAUCUGCAGAGGCCAUCUCACUCCAGGAUGGUCCACAUGGGGCACAGCGUGUCCCACUCCACAUCUAGCUUCCCUUCAGCUGCCUCCACACCCUGCUGCCUUGUAACUGCCAGGUGGUCUCAGGCCUCCUUCCCAAGCAGCCCCCAGCAGCUUUCUUGCUGUUCUCACUGAGCUGGACACCUCUCAGGAGCAAGAAGGAGCUAUGCCCUUUGCUCCCAGAACCCCAAACCACCCUCAGUGUCUCUAUCAUCUUUGUCCAGUCCAGGGCAGCAGUCCCUGUUCAAGCACCUCACCUUCCUGCCUGUCCUCUGAUUUCUCCCAUCCCUGACCCCACCCUGGUCUGUGGAAUAUUCCCAGAGAAACUCUGGCUCUGAUGUGUGCACUUCCCUCCACACCAUCCCCGGCUCAGCUCUCAGCUCCGAGGCUGCCCCACAAGGUUAUGCAGGUGUUUAGUGAGCCAGUGGGGGUGAAAUUGGCACAUUGCUUGUCCAGGCUUGGGCCUGCAUACAAAGAGGUGGAGAGGCGCCUUUUCCUCAUUUCCACAAAGGCAUCUCUGAGCCACCAUGGGCCUUGUGUGCUCACAAGCCUCUGGAAGGUCAAAAGCAAGGAGUUGGCUCUUGCUCUUCUGUGUCCUGUUGUAAUAGUCCCCACUAAGAGCAAUGGCAAGCUCCGGCCUAGCUGCCUGAAUGAGGGGAGGUUUAGAGGGGAAAUUACACUGGUUCAUAAAGAAAAUAGUAACCCCUUGCUUUGCUGGGAAGUCCCUCUGAAAGGGAAGGAAUGAUGGACCUUACCCCAGCACCCAUGACCUGGGCCCCAAGAAGCUCACCAGUGACAAUUUUGACUUUCUUUGUUAAAUAGACAUUAC